This is a small nucleolar RNA of Dioscorea cayenensis subsp. rotundata (Guinea yam), 107 nucleotides long. The record is from RefSeq and is a predicted model, not a curated record. Lineage: Eukaryota; Viridiplantae; Streptophyta; Magnoliopsida; Dioscoreales; Dioscoreaceae.
AACCCAUGAUGAGGGUAUUUUAGUAAAAGGUCCUUGAACCUUUCAUAAUCUUCGAACAAAGUUUCUAAAUCUCCUUACCUGAAGGCUAAAAUUUCUUGCCUAAGUCU